Molecule: ribosomal RNA, 427 nt
Filed under: uncultured Chlamydiae bacterium
Lineage: Bacteria; Pseudomonadati; Chlamydiota; Chlamydiia
Description: bacterial SSU rRNA
Rfam family: Bacterial small subunit ribosomal RNA
Source: RNAcentral
AACGCGAAGAACCUUACCUGGGCUCGAAAUGUAGAGGACGAUCACAGAGAUGUGAUUUCCCGAAAGGGUCUCUAUAUAGGUGCUGCAUGGCUGUCGUCAGCUCGUGCCGUGAGGUGUUUGGUUAAGUCCAGCAACGAGCGCAACCCUUAUCGUUAGUUGCCAGCGCGUAAUGGCGGGAACUCUAACGAGACUGCCUAGGUUAACUAGGAGGAAGGCGAGGAUGACGUCAAGUCCGCAUGGCCUUUAUGUCCAGGGCUACACACGUGCUACAAUGGUCGGUACAGAAGGCAGCGAAACCGCAAGGUGAAGCAAAUCCCAAAAGCCGAUCUCAGUUCAGAUUGUAGUCUGCAACUCGACUACAUGAAGUUGGAAUUGCUAGUAAUGGCGUGUCAGCAACAACGCCGUGAAUACGUUCCCGGGCCUUGUA